RNAcentral lists this ribosomal RNA (301 nucleotides) under uncultured bacterium. Its description in RNAcentral is "partial 16S ribosomal RNA". It matches the Rfam family "Bacterial small subunit ribosomal RNA", at positions 509 to 807 of the family's 1533-position model. The record is from RNAcentral.
CAGUCGCCGCGGGAAUACGUAGGGUGCGAGCGUUAAUCGGAAUUACUGGGCGUAAAGCGUGCGCAGGCGGUUUUAUAAGACAGGCGUGAAAUCCCCGGGCUUAACCUGGGAAUUGCAGUGGAUACUGGGUCACUAGAGUGUGGUAGAGGAUAGUGGAAUUUCCGGUGUAGCAGUGAAAUGCGUAGAGAUCGGAAGGAACAUCAGUGGCGAAGGCGACUACCUGGACUGAUACUGACACUGAGGUGCGAAAGCGUGGGGAGCAAACAGGAUUAGAUACCCCCGUAGUCCCUGUCUCUUAUAC